Molecule: long non-coding RNA, 1729 nt
Organism: Oncorhynchus kisutch (coho salmon)
Lineage: Eukaryota; Metazoa; Chordata; Actinopteri; Salmoniformes; Salmonidae
Source: Ensembl
ACCAAGCCAUCAUCAGAAGUUGGACCUCCUUUUGCUUUUGGGGAGAAUAAAAAGGAGCAGAUCUCUCCCUCAGACAUCAUAUCCUUCUUCAGCAAUCCUUUGAUUCUCUUGUUGAGCUGCACUACUAAAGGUAAUUUAUUAGAAAUCAACUCUGAUUCAACCUUUAGCUUCAGUAUUUGUCAACGCAAAAGGGAAAAUAAACUAGAGGAAACUACUUCAGAAAGUGAUGAAAGAUUUUUCAAAAUGUCAAAUAUUUUUCGUCAACAGAAUCCUUCAAGAUGAAAACCUUCAUUCUGAUCGCCUGCAUCCUGGGGAUUGCUCUCGGCCGCCCUCAAAGGCUGGUCAUGGAGUUUGACUUCCAGGCUGCCAACGCUCAGGUAAGAAACACUGCUAGUCUACACCUGUUGUUUACGAUGCAUUUGAUUUGAUACAUAGUUACGGUGUCCAUAUUAGGACAUACAUAACUCGAGGGUGUUCUUCCACGGACAUGUGAUGCUGUUCCAAUAUGGGCACCAUAACUGAUGUAAUGUGAUGAAAAAAUAAGAAUAAUAGUUACAAUAUGAAUAGUUUUAAAAUCAUAAAAUGAGGAACAAAGUGCCUGAAAAGGGAAUAGAACACUGAAGAACUGACUUUUCUAUAAUACAAAUGUUUGUUUUCCAAUUAUUUGUAGGCUCUCCAAGCUGGACAAGCCAGACCUGAUCUAGAGAUUGUGGGUGUUUGACAAAUUAAUCACAAUACAUUUCCCAUUCUAGAUUGAAGUCAACCUUCUACGUUUACUAUAGUAACCAGAGUGUUCCAAUGUUACAGAUCCUUCCUGUUGGUGGUGGAGUACCUGUAAGUAACCAUAGCGACAUAGUGAAAUACACUGUGCUGUCGUGUUAGUGAUGCUACACCAGUGCAUCUCACACUAAUAGAGUGAAUGUUCAAUCCAGUCAAUAUCACAGGUGUUAACUUAUCAGAAUUCAGAAAGUCAUGAUGAAAGUGUGUGUGUGAAUGUGUGUGUGUGUGUGUGUGUGUGUGUGUGUGUGUGUGUGUGUGUGUGUGUGUGUGUGUGUGUGUGUGUGUGUGUGUCAAAACAUAGUCAGGUGGUUUCAUCAAACAGGAGAUCCCCCAGCCACUCGGCCAGGAGAGCGUUGAGAUUUACCACCCCUUCAGCAUCCAGGUUGCCCCACCUCCGCCUGCUCCUGCCCAUACUCAUACAUCCGAUGAGGAAGACGAUUAGAGAUAUUACCAAUACUUGGAGAUCUACAAUACCCUUUGAUGAACAACGAUGUCCUUCAACUCCACAGCUGCUUUUAGUGUCCUAGAUUGAUUCAGUAAAUGCAAUGCUUAACCCAGCAAUAAACACAGCGUAACAUGGUGCUUAACCGAUGGCUUGAUGCAUGAAAGCUGUGUGUAAUUGUUUGUACUUGGCUGAAGAAUGUUAAUUUUUUUUUAAAGAACGUUUUGCCAAACUUCUCCAUACCAUGCCUCAAUUUUUCUUUCUUGUCUCUGCUUGUUAGUCUGUGGCAUUGAUGACAUUCUGAAUUCAAAAUAUUUAAGUUCUUCUCAAUCGCGUACGCAUUUUUGUAACAAUGUCAUUUUUCUAGACAGUACACAAGACACACAACUCUGUGUAGUAAAUUUUCCAAAUGUUGUUACCUUCUCAAAACAGCACACUAUAAAAAAACUAUAUGAUACUAUAAAAACUUUAAGGCCACCCUCAAAAAUGCAAAUACAUCUGUAAAAA